This 30-nucleotide non-coding RNA is filed under the name Macaca fascicularis (crab-eating macaque). RNAcentral also lists the same sequence under 1 other name. Lineage: Eukaryota; Metazoa; Chordata; Mammalia; Primates; Cercopithecidae. The record is from RNAcentral.
UUGUAGGUGUUCAGCAAUGGUGAUAAAGCA